RNAcentral lists this long non-coding RNA (1247 nucleotides) under Populus trichocarpa (black cottonwood). Its description in RNAcentral is "long non-coding RNA (PTRI_LNC003469)". Lineage: Eukaryota; Viridiplantae; Streptophyta; Magnoliopsida; Malpighiales; Salicaceae. The record is from RNAcentral.
UUCCACUUGAUCAACAUCUAAUAUUGAGUCAUCCAUUGCUAGUACCGCAGCCUAAAAAUAUGCAGGCAGGUGUCAUAUUAGUUAAUGAAUAACAAAAAUAACCUAAAUUUCACAAAAAGAAAGACAAAAAAAAGUUGCAGCUCUACCUCCAAAGAAACCUUUUGAAAUGAGCAUAUUCUACAGAACACCUAACUUUUGAACAUGUGAUGACAUGUAGUUUUAAAACCAUAAUCGUAGCAAGAUUUAGAAGUCUUUGAUAGUGAGGUAGAUGUUGCUUUUUUAAAAAAAUUUCUUUUAAAAAUACAUUAAAAUAUUUUUUUUAAAAUGCAUUUUUAACUCAGCAUCUAAUAUUGAGUCAUCCAUUGCUAGUACCGCAGCCUAAAAAUAUGCAGGCAGGUGUCAUAUUAGUUAAUGAAUAACAAAAAUAACCUAAAUUUCACAAAAAGAAAGACAAAAAAAAGUUGCAGCUCCCCUUGCACCAAAGGUGGUAGAUUCCAGAAUAACUAAAUUUUUAGUAUCAAUGCAUAAAAGCAUGAUAAGCAUGUUGUCUUUGCUUAAAUCAACCACUGAGCUAAAUCUUUUAAGAGGGAAACCUACUAUAACUGGGGCAAAAUUGCAUGCAUGCACAGAAGUAAUAUAUAACCUGUCAUGGAUGAAAAUGAUAGCUCGGGAAAGUAAAUUCCACCACAAGGUUAAAAUGAUAUUAAGACCCCUAAAUAAUACACUUUUUAUUCACAAAAUCCUGCCCCAAGAUUACCAGCUCUGCUCAUCUCCCAGUCACAGCUGUCUACAAAAGCCCUAAAGCAACGCAACCUAAUAUUGGUUCCAUUUCCACAUCAAAAACGAAACUUAAAAUACAAUAGUACAGGGAAAUCCAAGUUGCAGGAGAGUACGCUCCAAGGUCAACAAACAGUGGUGAAGGCUGGCCAAAUCAGGGAAAUCAAAGUCACAGGAGAAUGUGCUCCUAGGUCAACAGACAGGAUAGCUUCUGAACAUUACAUUACACCCAACCUUUUACACUUCAAAAAACAUGCAUUUCUAUAAAUGGCUCAAGACUAGCACAAAUUGCUUGAAAAGUAGAAGUCAACUCUCUUUUAAAUAUACACAACAAAAAUAUCAACACAAACCACAUGAUGCUAUCCCAUUUAAACUUGGGAAUCUCAAGCAUUGCAUCUAGUCUAAGUGCGCACAAUAUCACAUCUUCAUCCACUAAUCAAGAAAAAUAGUUUUGAUAAAUAAAACAGAUA